GACGAGGGAUCCUAGCGUUGCUCGGAAUCAUUGGGCGUAAAGCGGGUGUAGGUGGCUUGACAAGUCAGGUGUGAAAGCCCAGGGCUCAACCCUGGAAGUGCAUUUGAAACUGUCGAGCUUGAGUGCUAGAGAGGUUAUUAGAAUACCUGGUGUAGUGGUGAAAUACGUAGAUAUCAGGUGGAACACCGGAGGCGAAGGCGGAUAACUGGCUAAACACUGACACUGAGACGCGAAAGUGUGGGGAUCAAACAGG
RNAcentral lists this ribosomal RNA (253 nucleotides) under uncultured bacterium. RNAcentral's name for it is "partial 16S ribosomal RNA". It matches the Rfam family "Bacterial small subunit ribosomal RNA", at positions 524 to 776 of the family's 1533-position model. The record is from RNAcentral.